Non-coding RNA from Otolemur garnettii (small-eared galago), 75 nucleotides. The record is from Rfam. Lineage: Eukaryota; Metazoa; Chordata; Mammalia; Primates; Galagidae.
GCGCCUAUGGCUCAGAGGAGUAGAGUGUUGGCCUCAUAUGCCAGAGGUGGCAGGUUCAAACCCAGCCUGGGGCCA